This 281-nucleotide unclassified non-coding RNA is filed under the name Hevea brasiliensis (rubber tree). Lineage: Eukaryota; Viridiplantae; Streptophyta; Magnoliopsida; Malpighiales; Euphorbiaceae. The record is from RNAcentral.
GUACAACAUAGAAGCAUUUGAAGAACAAGAACAACAUGAUGGUGAUGAUAAUAAGGAAGAAUAAGCUAAUGGGUAUCUACCAAAUCUAUUAUUAGAGCAAUAAGAAUUAUCAUAAUAUGAAAAUGAAGAUGACCCUUUACACUUUAGUGUAAGAGUUGAACUUACACAAGUGUUAUACAUGGCUAAAGAGGAUUAAAGAUUGUACCUUUAAUGGCAAAAAUCUCUUCUUUUUUCAAGAUUCUGUAGAAUUAUUAGGAGAAAAUCCAAGUCGGAACAGUGUU